Molecule: long non-coding RNA, 330 nt
Organism: Carassius carassius (crucian carp)
Lineage: Eukaryota; Metazoa; Chordata; Actinopteri; Cypriniformes; Cyprinidae
Exons: 3
Source: RefSeq, a predicted model, not a curated record
CCCGACUCACAGCUGCACAGGGUCUGAGCAGCAAUGGCACAAACCCGGGACCCAGGGCUUUAAGCCUGGUCCAACAAAUGAAAUGGUGGUAUUGUCAGCUAGGCCCAAGGAGAGAAGAUUGGCAGAAGGCAUCAGGAGCAACCUGUAUAAAGCUGCCUGUAACCUGACCUGUUGCCUUCCAGACAUGUCAGUUCUACGGGUGAAGGAUAUUUACGAAGGCAUGUCGAAAGAAACUGCUCCUUUAAUAGCCACCAUGGGGAUUUCAGGGGAUGUGCCUUUAGUUGACAGCGCUUUUGGAAAAGUCCAAGAAGGGAGUUUACUGUCCUAUCA